CACGCAGGUGGCUGAGUCAGUCGAUUGUGAAAGCCCUGGGCUUAACCUGGGAAUUGCAGUCGAUACUACUUAGCUAGAGUAUGGGAGAGGGCAGUGGAAUUCCCGGUGUAGCGGUGAAAUGCGUAGAUAUCGGGAGGAACAUCAGUGGCGAAGGCGGCUGCCUGGCCCAAUACUGACACUCAGGUGCGACAGCGUGGGGAGCAAACA
Molecule: ribosomal RNA, 207 nt
Filed under: uncultured bacterium
Lineage: Bacteria
Description: partial 16S ribosomal RNA
Rfam family: Bacterial small subunit ribosomal RNA
Source: RNAcentral